AUAUUUAGGUUUAUAGGUUAGGGAGGGCGUGUCGCGUGGCGUGUAUAGUAGUGACACGAGACCAAGAGGCAAGCAUAAACCGAAGCAACGAUCCUAGAGCGGAUUCGAAGAACCGGUACUUUCCUCUGCCCGUUCGCUAGCCGUAGUUAGAGCCGCUUUGGAUGAGUACACAGCCUCAGACCGCCCCACCAGCACACCUCUAACAGCGGUUGUCGGUUCCGUUGGCGUGGUGCGGCAGGAAACAGCGGAAGUGGCUGUGUGUCUCCGAGCAGCCGCUCCGCCGGUUUUUAGUCGAUUCUUCUUUGUGUAGGUUGUGGCAGAUACUACAUUUGGCCGAGUAACGGGCCUCAAAGAUACUGCACAGGAACCUCUCGCUACGGUUCGUAACCGGUAAAGUCUGCUAGCUUCCGGGGGUGCCGUUCCGGUACUAAUCCCACGCAAUGGAACCGUUCGUGUUCCUGAAGAGCGGCCUCCUCUAGAACCGGUACCACGAACCGUUCUACUUCCUCUGUCGACUCCUGAUGGAACCCUGUUGGUAGUUCUUCCGACAGUAGUGGCAGGGCCGGAUGAAGUUGCCGAGGGUUGCGGCCCGGUGGGUCCUACGACCGCAGGAGCGACCGGAGUUACAGUACGCGUAGUAGUUGCUUGGAUGGCGCUGCCGGUACCGAAUGUUGGUUCUACCCUCCACCUCGUUGUGGGUUCUCUCGUUACACGAGUAGAUACUGAACCCGCCAGCUUGCGAGCUGCAGAGCGAACACCAAUAGUUCCUUUCAUAUAACCUCCAGUUCCGAUCGCGGGCGCUGUGAGUGGAUCCUCCGCUCCUAAAGUGGUUGGCGUACCAACUGGUAAAGCAGUCCCUUAAAUUCUUCUUCUUGGUCUCCCUAUAGUCGCCGCUGUUCUCCCGAGAGGCCGCGGAGUCUCUGAGCACGCUCUCACGGUUCUCCUUCGAGAGGAGGCGCUGGGUCCGGCUGCAGUACCACCUACGGGAAAAACUCCCGUAGCUGUACGUUAGGUAGUAGUUAGCACGGGACAAGCUCGUCGAGUGGUUCCUGGACGACCCCUUUACAUACCGUUGGCAGCUCUACACGAACUACCUACGGUUCUACCUGUCCUGGUUUCACCUGCUACAACACGAGCAGCCUCCUACACCUGCCCUUUAGGUACGUCACGCGGUCUAGGAGUUCACCAAGAAGAUGCUUUUCCUCGGGACGUACCUUUAGUCCGGCCUGCUCCGGCACCGUAUGCCUCGGUGGCAGGUCCGGCGGUAGGAGUGCCCGCUCUAGGAGGACGUAGUCUACCUCCAGUGUGGCGAGAGCAACCCGUAUCUUGAGGUACUCUGACCAGUCUUGUGGUCAAAUUGGUAGUCCCUACUGUACCCUGCAACGUCGUACCUACUUCACCUCUUGGUGUUCAUGUUUCGGCAACUACUUCUCGUGUUCUUCUUCUGUAAGCAACUAGGUUUCACCUGGUUCCUCAGGCACGGUUCCAGGCUCUACUCCUUGCCACUGGUGGUUCUGACGCUUUUUGAACUACGGGACCUGUUCCGGAACGAGCUGCUUUCGCACCUAGGUCAGCUAGAUGGAAAGAGCGAGGAGUUCAAUCAGUGCGUCCUAAAGAGACUUCGAGCUCUUUAGCCGUCCCCGCCCAAACCUCGCCAGAUGUUCCCUCACGAAGGUUCACCAUCGUGGCAACGGCACUUCUUCGAGAAGCUCUCGAAGGUCUAGGACCUGUUCUUAAAGGCCUCGCUCUAGCGGACAGAGUACCCCCAGUUCGUGUUCUUAUAGCAUGCCAAACAACCUAUGACGAGACUAUGCGUCGUGCACUAGUCCGGCAUGCUGCCCUUCGAACAGACCCGUCUCCACGCCGUUUCCGAAGAGACAAUGCUCAUGGACGUGUUUCCCACGGAACGACUGAUAGAGAGACUACGUAGAACAGCUGGAUACACCUGGUAUCUAAUAGUUUAUUAAUUCCCCUAGACACUCCCACAUGUAAUAGAAGUAGUUGUAGCAUAAUAAGUGUACCUAGAGUUCGGAGUCUUGUAUGAUAACCUACUAUUGUAGCACGGUUCUGAAUAACUAAAGCCAGAUAGUGCCGCGAAUCUACUUUCGUUCUCAGCCCGAUAAUGAUAUUCGUGCCAACCCUGCUCCCCUAUAUACCGUGGCCUUAAGUAUCUACUGCCUCUUUAAUGGAAGUUUUGUCUGUAUAUAUCAAACCCGUAGUAUUAAUACCUCUAGGAAUGCUCUGCAUUCUUCGCGAGGUUAAACUUCCUCCAUCAACUUACAACCUACUUGUUCAAGCCCCGUAGUCUCUCGGUCUGUUGUGACUUGGUUCAUUUUCAUACACGACUCUAUCCUUAUUUUACGUGUUUGGUACUGGGCAACUUGUCCGGACUAUGUAACAGAUAGUAGGUACUUAAAGUUUAAACGUCGUUACUCAACUUCGACUUCUUACUAAGACGACGUGGCAGGGUUAAUAUCGGUAGCCGUAGUCGGUGACCUCCGCCUCAUCCUCCUACCUUUGUUAGUCUAAACGUGUUUGAUUUAGAACCGGCACCUUACCUUUAAUAGUAUUUACAUUGAGUGUGACUUGAAAUACAUGAAUGACGAUGAGUACCUAUAAUAUAUAAGCAUGGCUGAGUGCGGUCAACUGUACAAAAAAGAACUGGCUGUUGUUCUCUCUGUCUGUUACUUUGGUUGAAGGCAUGUUAGAUUUGCUACCUGUAUCACACACUGUUCCUAAAAUUAAAAAAACUAUUUCUCUCGAGGGAGAGGCUAAAGUUAAUCUUCUUUGGUGUCACAGAAGUAAUGAAGUUUGACCUUUAUUUUCUUGCGAUGCGUUCUCCGUACGCGACGGCACUCUCUUCCUCGGCCAAAUUAGUCUUAACAAAGAUAUACAAACCCUAUACUACUAGAACUAAGAUCUUUCUCUUAUCUGUUAUACUCUACUCUUCUCUACCCAGACGCACCUUCCGCCCUUCCG
This 2979-nucleotide ribosomal RNA is filed under the name Triticum aestivum (bread wheat). Its description in RNAcentral is "partial small subunit ribosomal RNA". Lineage: Eukaryota; Viridiplantae; Streptophyta; Magnoliopsida; Poales; Poaceae. The record is from RNAcentral.